GAGUUUGAUCAUGGCUCAGGAUGAACGCUAGCGACAGGCCUAACACAUGCAAGUCGAGGGGCAUCGGGGCGAGGAGCAAUCCUUGCCGCCGGCGACCGGCGCACGGGUGAGUAACGCGUAUGCGACCUGCCCGUUGCAGGGGGAUAAUCGGGAGAAAUCCCGUCUAAUACCGCGUAAUGCCGCGGGGCUGCAUGGCCCUGCGGCCAAAGGAAGCGAUUCCGGCAACGGAUGGGCAUGCGUGACAUUAGCUAGUUGGCGGGGCAACGGCCCACCAAGGCGACGAUGUCUAGGGGUUCUGAGAGGAAGGUCCCCCACACUGGUACUGAAACACGGACCAGACUCCUACGGGAGGCAGCAGUGAGGAAUAUUGGUCAAUGGGCGCGAGCCUGAACCAGCCAAGUCGCGUGAGGGAUGACGGCCCUACGGGUUGUAAACCUCUUUUGUCGGGGAGCAAAUUCCGCCACGUGUGGCGGAGUCGAGAGUACCCGAAGAAAAAGCAUCGGCUAACUCCGUGCCAGCAGCCGCGGUAAUACGGAGGAUGCGAGCGUUAUCCGGAUUUAUUGGGUUUAAAGGGUGCGUAGGCGGACUGUCAAGUCAGCGGUAAAAUACGGGGGCUCAACCUCCGCCCGCCGUUGAAACUGACGGUCUUGAGUGGGCGAGAAGUAUGCGGAAUGCGUGGUGUAGCGGUGAAAUGCAUAGAUAUCACGCAGAACUCCGAUUGCGAAGGCAGCAUACCGGCGCCCAACUGACGCUGAAGCACGAAAGCGUGGGUAUCGAACAGGAUUAGAUACCCUGGUAGUCCACGCAGUAAACGAUGAAUACUAGCUGUCCGGGGCGAAUGAGCCCUGGGUGGCACAGCGAAAGCGUUAAGUAUUCCACCUGGGGAGUACGCCGGCAACGGUGAAACUCAAAGGAAUUGACGGGGGCCCGCACAAGCGGAGGAACAUGUGGUUUAAUUCGAUGAUACGCGAGGAACCUUCUCCGGGCUCAAACGACACAGGAACGUACCUGAAAGGGUUCGGCUCUACGGAGCCUGUGUCGAGGCGCUGCAUGGCUGUCGUCAGCUCGUGCCGUGAGGUGUCGGCUUAAGUGCCAUAACGAGCGCAACCCCCAUCGACAGUUGCUAACAGGUCAGGCUGAGGACUCUGUCGAGACUGCCGGCGCAAGCUGCGAGGAAGGCGGGGAUGACGUCAAAUCAGCACGGCCCUUACGUCCGGGGCGACACACGUGUUACAAUGGCAGGUACAGCGGGAAGCCACCUGGCGACAGGGAGCGGAACCCGAAAGCCUGUCUCAGUUCGGAUUGGAGUCUGCAACCCGACUCCAUGAAGCUGGAUUCGCUAGUAAUCGCGCAUCAGCCACGGCGCGGUGAAUACGUUCCCGGGCCUUGUACACACCGCCCGUCAAGCCAUGGAAGCCGGGGGUGCCUGAAGUGCGCUGCCGCGAGGAGCGCCCUAGGGUAAAACCGGUG
Molecule: ribosomal RNA, 1470 nt
Filed under: uncultured bacterium
Lineage: Bacteria
Description: bacterial SSU rRNA
Rfam family: Bacterial small subunit ribosomal RNA
Source: RNAcentral